CAAGCCUAAGUACUCCUACAUGACCGAUAGUGAACCAGUACCGUGAGGGAAAGGUGAAAAGCACCCCGACGAGGGGAGUGAAACAGACCCUGAAACUGGACGCCUACAAGCAGUCGGAGGGCGCAAGCCUGACGGCGUACCUUUUGUAUAAUGGGUCAUCGACUUGGUCUAUCUAGCAAGCUUAAGCCGUUAGGUGUAGGCGCAGCGAAAGCGAGUCUUAAUAGGGCGUCAAGUCUGUCGGAUUAGACCCGAAACCGAGUGAUCUAGCCAUGUGCAGGAUGAAGGUGGGGUAACACCCACUGGAGGUCCGAACCAGUGCCCGUUGAAAAGGUCUUGGAUGACGUGUGGCUAGGGGUGAAAGGCCAAUCAAACUCGGAAAUAGCUGGUUCUCCGCGAAAUCUAUUUAGGUAGAGCGUCUCGUGAAUACCCAUGGGGGUAGAGCACUGGAUGGGCUAGGGGGUCCCAACGACUUACCAAACCUAACCAAACUCCGAAUACCAUGGAGUAAUGCGAGGCAGACACACUGCGGGUGCUAAGGUCCGUAGUGAAGAGGGAAACAGCCCUGACCGCCAGCUAAGGUCCCUAAGUUAUCACUAAGUGGGAAACGAUGUGGGAGUGCUUAGACAACCAGGAGGUUGGCUUAGAAGCAGCCAUCCUUUAAAGAAAGCGUAAUAGCUCACUAGUCGAGUCGGCCUGCGCGGAAGAUGUAACGGGGCUAAAACUAUAUGCCGAAGCUGCGGAUUUGCAAUUUAUUGCAAGUGGUAGGGGAGCGUUCUGUAAGCCGAUGAAGGUGUAUUGAGAAGUAUGCUGGAGGUAUCAGAAGUGCGAAUGCUGACGUGAGUAACGACAAUGCGAGUGAAAAACUCGCACGCUGAAAGACCAAGGGUUCCAGUCCAACGUUAAUCGGGGCUGGGUGAGUCGACCCCUAAGGCGAGGCCGAGAGGCGUAGUCGAUGGGAAAUUGGUUAAUAUUCCAAUACUUCUGUGUAAUGCGAUGAGAGGACGGAGAAGGUUAAGUCAGCCUGGCGUUGGUUGUCCAGGUGGAAGGUUGUAGGCAUGUAUCUUAGGCAAAUCCGGGGUAC
This 1081-nucleotide ribosomal RNA is filed under the name Chaetoceros affinis. RNAcentral's name for it is "partial Bacterial large subunit ribosomal RNA". It matches the Rfam family "Bacterial large subunit ribosomal RNA", at positions 461 to 1550 of the family's 2925-position model. Lineage: Eukaryota; Bacillariophyta; Thalassiosirophyceae; Chaetocerotales; Chaetocerotaceae. The record is from RNAcentral.